GUAGGUGGCAAGCGUUGUCCGGAAUUAUUGGGCGUAAAGCGCGCGCAGGUGGUUCUUUAAGUCUGAUGUGAAAGCCCCCGGGCUCAAACCGGGGAGGGUCAUUGGAAACUGGGGAACGUUGAGUGCAGGAGAGGAAAGUGGAAUUCCACGUGUAGCGGUGAAAUGCGUAGAUAUGUGGAGGAACACCAGUGGCGAAGGCGACUUUCUGGCCUGUAACUGACACUGAGGCGCGAAAGCGUGGGGAGCAAACAGGAUUAGAUACCCUGGUAGUCCACGCCGUAAACGAUGAGUGCUAAGUGUUGGGGGGUUUCCCGCACUCAGUGCUGCAGCUAACGCAUUAAGCACUCCGCCUGGGGAUACGGUCGCAAGACUG
Molecule: ribosomal RNA, 373 nt
Filed under: uncultured organism
Description: partial 16S ribosomal RNA
Rfam family: Bacterial small subunit ribosomal RNA
Source: RNAcentral